AUACCUUAUUACACCAUUAUACAAUACAGGUUACUACAACAUUAUAAAUAGUAAUUUAAUUUUCAUUGCUUCGCUCUUAAUUGCACGCAACAUAAACUUUUCUUUUUGCAACAAUAAAAAAAAAUAAAAGUGUCAUCUUGCGCUUGACAUGAAAAGCCUGGCCAUGUGCUCGAUGAUGACGCUGGUUUCCCAAAAAACACUUCUGCGUGUUUACCAUUCCAAUAUGCAGUUGUGCAGAUGGCGUGACUGGAAAAAGCUGGAAUUGGUAUGUGAAUUUUCCAGUUUAUUCAUGGAACAAAGUGAAUCGGAAUUGACCCGUCGUCAUCGUCGUCGCAUUCGCAAAGGGACAGCGACAGGGAAUAUUCGAGAUGGUUUUCUCUGUUGCUGCUUCUAGUUUCCAAACGCUCAGAGCGCCACAGAAGCCGCUCCGGCUUCCUUUCCUACAUGACGUGGCUUUCGUACAUUUCAUAUUGAAUUAAUCAUUUCCCAAGGGAGGAGUUUCUUUUGCCAGUAUGGCGAGCGGUAGGCGUGUCCAUGGAUAGAAUUUUGAUUUUCUCAGUGGAAACGAAAACAAUAAUUUUCUAUUUGCAUUAGCAGGGGUUAAAAUUCGGAGAGGGAGAAUACAUAAAUGAUAAUACGUAUAAUAAUGCUGAGAGUAUGUGGUAAAGUGUUUGUGGGAUGUAUGUGUUAAAGCCGGAUUUAAUUUGGUGAUAAGAAACUAUCAUGGCUGCCGUCUUUCGGGGAUGUCGGAUGGAGUGGUGGUUAAUCGGCAAAAUGCCUACGGUUUUUUCAUUGUCUAUUUGUGACUUUCGAGCGAGAGGUGAAGUAAGAAAAUACAGGUAGACACAUAUUAUUCAGGUAUUUAGUUGGUGAUGAAAUGAAGUGCGAUUGCUUAAUAAAAUAUUUUUGAAUCUAUGCUGAUUUCUGGUUGAUAUUAAAUAUGCACAAACUUUUAAUAAUAUUAAGGAAAGCAAGUUGUCGGGAGUUUUACAAACCUUGUGGUUGGUACCUAUUUAAAUGCUUUGAAUUCAAAUAUAUAUAGAGUUAUGAUAACUUAGGCAAUGCAAAAAUGUUAUGCAUUCUUGUAAAAGAAUUAUACACAAUACACCUCCAAUCAUCAUUACGCCUUUUUUUUGUGAUUAAAUGCGUAAUGCAGUGUAGUUCGAGAAAUUGCCAUUGAAAAACGAUCGCAGUAGUCUGUUUUUUUAAUACCUAGUGUAGUUUUAAUAUUUGAAAGUUGAUACAAUGUUCCAUUACUUAUUGUCAUACUAAUUUAAGACAAGUGAAAUUCAGACGAGAUCUAAUUUUAACUUAUAAAUUAUAGAAUUUUAAAAGGAAUAUUAUAUGAGAAGAUAUUAGGAAUAAUUUAUAUUAAUUUUUUUUAUGUUUUCUUUUAAGUAAAUUGAAGUUGAAUGAAAAAAGGACUAAAGGAAAGGGGUUCGUUCGUAGAUUAUGAUCUUACUGUGUGUAGACCUUCGCGUGAAACAGACGGCACUCUAUUUGUUAACACUUACUUUUUGCAAAAUAACAAACAAAUAUUACUCUUACAGCUUAUGUGUCUUAAACUUUGCCAACUUAUUCGAAUCAGCUAAAUUAAAAAUUAUAAUUUAUUAUAUAAAAGAAGAAUAAAAGCUGAAGAAAAGGGAAACGUUCGUAGAUUAUGCUAAAAUUUGUGCGUAGAUCAUCAUUUGCAAUAGAUGGCGCUGAAAUUAUUUAAAUUUAUUUAUUAUAAAAAAUAAGUAAAAGACAAAGACGCAAAAUGAUCUUAACAUUGAAAACAAAUUCUGUAAAGUAUGAGAAUUUAUCUUCAGUUUAAGAAAGCAUAAUUUCUCAACUUCAGGCUAACUUAAUUUGAACCAUGGAAAAUAUACAAUCGAGCAACAAUGGUACGUGGUGGCAAUUUCAAUUGGCCGCCAAGAUCAUUUGAUCUUACAUCGUUGGACUUAUUUCUGUGGGGUUAUUUAAAAGAAAAUGUGUUCUUCGAUAAGCCAGUAAUAAUAAGGAAAAGAUAAUUCGAAACAUUAAAGGCAUAAAACGUUAAUUAUGCCUCAGCGUCAUCGAUAAUUUGGACCAUCGGAUGGACGUUUGGCGGCGGCCAUUUAGCACAUAUUUUGUUCCAUGCAAUAUUAUCACAAUUAAAAGAAUAAAUUACAAUAAUUUCCUAAAUGAUUAGUGGUUUAUUCAAGAUCAAUAUCGACCCUUAAAUUUUAGAUGAAACAGAUGUCUUAGGCGAAGUUUUGAAGAAAUCCCAAUUACUCCAACUUCCAUUGUGAUACCCAAAAAACAUGGACCUAUGAGAGGGACAGUUUGUUUAUGGGCUCUGUAAAAGUCCUACACUGAUCAUAUGAAUGUACCAGAAAGCUAAGGAAAUUCAGAAAAAAUACCAUCUCCUGACUCUGUUACUAAAAUAUCGAUGACAAGAGAAAUACCUCAUCGUCACCAACCUAAAGAAGAAAAAUAGCUUUAUUUUUGGUUGAUUUAGAUGAUACGAGUAGUUUCAAAUCCUCAACAGACGAAAAUACGCCUCUAAAUCAUCAGAAUAAAAUACAAAAUUUUUUGGAAAUUGUACAUAGAUACGUUUGCGACGCAGAUUUUAAAAACCACUUUCGGCUUUAUGGGUCAAUUGUCCACAUUUUGAUAGGCCAGAUUCUUCUUCGAUUAAAAAUAAAAUCAAAUUUGAUGAAUGCAAUACGAGAUAGGUACAUUUAAUUUCCAAAUUACUUACAAUUUAUUUGUGUUUUCCAUUUUGUGUGGUUGCAGAUUAGGGAAUUUACUUACUUUGUUUGACAUUAAAAAGCAGGGUUGCCCAAACAUUUUAUUUCAUGAAUUUUUUGUUGUUCUUUUUACGGAAAAUUGAUAUCCAUUAAUUGGGCUAAAUAUACAUUUUUUGCAUUUAUUCAUUUUAAGUUCAUUAAUAUAUGUUUUAUUUUGUCAGAAGUUUUUGUUUUGUGUGUUUGAUAUAAAAAGUAAAUAAAAAUGAAAUUGCUUACUUACUAUUUAAAAUAUUUUUUUUUUUUAGUCGGAUGGAAAUGUAACAAUGGCAAUACGGGUUAUAUUUUAAAUAGUUGGUAGUGAUACCAAAAUUUACAUGUUAUAUUACGAAUUGCAUCCUUCUCUGUGCGAAAUAGCGAAAUAAAUUUUGGAUUUCAAAUUAAGAUCCAAACACAAAGCUGGAUCUUGAUUUGUUGUUGUAAUGCAUGUAAAUCCAUGAUCUGGAUUAGAUCAUGGUAUGAUAAUAAAACGCUGCUAAUGAAAUCGUUUUCAAUGAACAGCUGAUUUUCGAUUUUAAAAUUCGCAAGGAAAUUGUUCCAAUGAUGUCCUUCCAUAUUCUUUCUACCUCAUUUGCUUUAAAUGGUUAUCAGGAACAUAUUUUCAAUCAUGUAUAAAUUUUCAAUUAAUUAUAUUUAACCGACUUGUUAAGAAAAAUCAAUGAAUGGAAAUCCAUUAGUUUCUAAUUUUAAAGUUUUGAAACAUCAGAUAGUAUAUUUUGAAGCAGAACUAAGUUUAUAAACCCGGAAUAAAAUGACCGAGUUAAAGUCUUUUUCUGACGUCGACGAUGUUUUAACCUACAAGUGUACACCUGCAUCACAAUUUAAUUUUGUUUCUUUAUCGUUGUCAUACCUGCAAAAAACGCAACGGGAAGGUUUUUUUUUAACAAUCUGUUGUCCGACUAAGAGAAUUAUAUUCACUAAGAUGUGGUUGGUGGCUCUGCCCGCGUCUGAGCAAGAAAGUGACUGCAUAAGUUGUCCGGUCAUGUCGGUUUUAGCCUAAGAAAGGCGUUGAUAGAGUUUUCAUACUGUUUACUCCCUGAGAUUUUAAUCUCAGACUCCAAAGAUGA
Eupeodes corollae is the source of this 3838-nucleotide long non-coding RNA. RefSeq lists it as uncharacterized. The transcript is spliced from 3 exons. The record is from RefSeq and is a predicted model, not a curated record. NCBI's taxonomy places the organism in Eukaryota, Metazoa, Arthropoda, Insecta, Diptera, Syrphidae.